GGGCGCGUAGUUCAACUGGCAGAACGUCGGUCUCCAAAACCGAAAGGUGAUUGUUCGAAUCGAUCCGCGCCUG
Molecule: transfer RNA, 73 nt
Filed under: Acidaminococcus intestini RyC-MR95
Lineage: Bacteria; Bacillati; Bacillota; Negativicutes; Acidaminococcales; Acidaminococcaceae
Rfam family: tRNA
About the family: Transfer RNA (tRNA) molecules are approximately 80 nucleotides in length.
Source: Rfam by way of RNAcentral